RNAcentral lists this ribosomal RNA (403 nucleotides) under uncultured prokaryote. RNAcentral describes it as "bacterial SSU rRNA". It matches the Rfam family "Bacterial small subunit ribosomal RNA", at positions 355 to 776 of the family's 1533-position model. The record is from RNAcentral. RNAcentral also lists the same sequence under 1 other name.
UGGGGAAUAUUGGGCAAUGGGGGAAACCCUGACCCAGCGACGCCGCGUGAGGGAAGAAGGUUUUCGGAUUGUAAACCUCUGUCCUCAGUGAAGAAAAUGACGGUAACUGAGGAGGAAGCCACGGCUAACUACGUGCCAGCAGCCGCGGUAAUACGUAGGUGGCAAGCGUUGUCCGGAAUUACUGGGUGUAAAGGGAGCGUAGGCGGGAAUGUAAGUUGAAUGUUAAAACUAUGGGCUCAACCCAUAGGUGCGUUCAAAACUACAUUUCUUGAGUGAAGUAGAGGCAGGCGGAAUUCCUAGUGUAGCGGUGGAAUGCGUAAAUAUUAGGAGGAACACCAGUGGCGAAGGCGGCCUGCUGGGCUUUAACUGACGCUGAGGCUCGAAAGCGUGGGUAGCAAACAGG